GACGAACGCUGGCGGCGUGCUUAACACAUGCAAGUCGAACGGAAAGGCCCCUUUGGGGGUACUCGAGUGGCGAACGGGUGAGUAACACGUGAGUAACCUGCCCUUGACUUCGGGAUAACUUCAGGAAACUGGGGCUAAUACCGGAUAGGAAUCCUUGCUGCAUGGUGGGGGUUGGAAAGCUUCGGCGGUUUUGGAUGGACUCGCGGCUUAUCAGCUUGUUGGUGGGGUAGUGGCUUACCAAGGCUUUGACGGGUAGCCGGCCUGAGAGGGCGACCGGCCACAUUGGGACUGAGAUACGGCCCAGACUCCUACGGGAGGCAGCAGUGGGGAAUAUUGCACAAUGGGCGGAAGCCUGAUGCAGCAACGCCGCGUGCGUGAUGACGGCCUUCGGGUUGUAAACCGCUUUCAGCAGGGGCGAAGCUUGUGGUGACGGUACCUGCAGAAGAAGCACCGGCUAACUACGUG
RNAcentral lists this ribosomal RNA (465 nucleotides) under uncultured bacterium. RNAcentral's name for it is "partial 16S ribosomal RNA". It matches the Rfam family "Bacterial small subunit ribosomal RNA", at positions 28 to 507 of the family's 1533-position model. The record is from RNAcentral.